RNAcentral lists this ribosomal RNA (395 nucleotides) under uncultured bacterium. Its description in RNAcentral is "partial 16S ribosomal RNA". It matches the Rfam family "Bacterial small subunit ribosomal RNA", at positions 523 to 918 of the family's 1533-position model. The record is from RNAcentral.
AUACGUAGGGUGCAAGCGUUAAUCGGAAUUACUGGGCGUAAAGCGUGCGCAGGCGGUUUUGUAAGACAGUGGUGAAAUCCCCGGGCUCAACCUGGGAACUGCCAUUGUGACUGCAAGGCUGGAGUGCGGCAGAGGGGGAUGGAAUUCCGCGUGUAGCAGUGAAAUGCGUAGAUAUGCGGGGGAACACCGAUGGCGAAGGCAAGCCCCUGGGCCUGCACUGACGCGCAUGCACGAAAGCGUGGGGAGCAAACAGGAUUAGAUACCCUGGUAGUCCACUCCCUAAACGAUGUCAACUGGUUGUUGGGGAUUUAUUUUCUCAGUAACGAAGCUAACGCGUGAAGUUGACCGCCUGGGGAGUACGGCCGCAAGGUUAAAACUCAAAGGAAUUGACGGGG